This 251-nucleotide ribosomal RNA is filed under the name uncultured bacterium. Its description in RNAcentral is "partial small subunit ribosomal RNA". It matches the Rfam family "Bacterial small subunit ribosomal RNA", at positions 26 to 290 of the family's 1533-position model. The record is from RNAcentral.
AGAAUCAACGCUGGCGGCGUGCCUAACACAUGCAAGUCGAACGAGAAAGUGGAGCAAUCCAUUAGUAAAGUGGCGCACGGGUGAGUAACACGUGACUAACCUACCCUUGAGUGGGGGAUAACCUAGGGAAACCUGGGCUAAUACCGCAUAAUACCUUCGGGUCAAAGGAGCAAUUCGCUUAAGGAGGGGGUCGCGGCCGAUUAGUUAGUUGGCGGGGUAAUGGCCCACCAAGACUAUGAUCGGGUAUCCGG